RNAcentral lists this ribosomal RNA (712 nucleotides) under uncultured Pseudomonadota bacterium. RNAcentral's name for it is "bacterial SSU rRNA". It matches the Rfam family "Bacterial small subunit ribosomal RNA", at positions 645 to 1380 of the family's 1533-position model. Lineage: Bacteria; Pseudomonadati; Pseudomonadota. The record is from RNAcentral.
AGAUCUGGAGAGGUGAGUGCAAUUCCGAGUGUAGAGGUGAAAUUCGUAGAUAUUCGGAAGAAUACCAGUGGCGAAAGCGGCUCACUGGCCCGAUACUGACGCUGAGGUGCGAAAGUGUGGGCAGCAAACAGGAUUAGAUACCCUGGUAGUCCACAUCGUAAACGAUGAAUGCCCGACGUCGGAUAGCAUGCUGUUCGGUGUCCCACCUAACGGACUAAGCAUUCCGCGUGGGGAGUACGGUGGCAAGAUUAAAACUCAAAGGAAUUUGACGGGGCACCGCACAAGCGGCGGAGCAUGUGGUUUAAUUCGAAGCACCGCGCAGAACCUUACCAAGCCUUGACAUUCCGUGCCACAUCCAGAGAUGGAUGGUUCCUUUCGGGGACCCGGUGCCAGGUGCUCCAUGCCUGUCGUCAGCUCGUGUCGUGAGAUGUUCGGUUAAGUCCGGCACCGAGCGCAACCCCCAUCCUUAGUUGCCACCAUUCAGUUGGGCACUCUAGGGAAACUGUCUGUGAUAAGCAGGAGGAAGGUGUGGAUGACGUCAAGUCCUCAUGGCCCUUACGGGUUGGGCUACACACGUGCUACAAUGGCGGUGACAGUGGGGUAAUCCCAAAAAGCCAUCUCAGUUCGGAUUGGGGUCUGCAACUCGACCCCAUGAAGUCGGAAUCGCUAGUAAUCGCGUAACAGCAUGACGCGGUGAAUACGUUCCCGGGCC